This 68-nucleotide transfer RNA is filed under the name Chodsigoa hoffmanni. Its description in RNAcentral is "tRNA-Asp". The record is from RNAcentral. Lineage: Eukaryota; Metazoa; Chordata; Mammalia; Eulipotyphla; Soricidae.
GAGAUACUAGUAAAAUAUUACAUAACUUUGUCAAAGUUAAAUUACAGGCGAGAACCCUGUGUAUCUCC